Molecule: ribosomal RNA, 279 nt
Filed under: uncultured bacterium
Lineage: Bacteria
Description: partial 16S ribosomal RNA
Rfam family: Bacterial small subunit ribosomal RNA
Source: RNAcentral
UGCCAGCCGCCGCGGUAAUACGGAGGGUGCAAGCGUUGUUCGGAAUUACUGGGCGUAAAGCGCGCGUAGGCGGCUUUUUAAGUCAGAUGUGAAAGUCCACGGCUCAACCGUGGAAGUGCAUUUGAAACUGGGAGGCUUGAGUAUUGGAGGGGGUGGUGGAAUUCCCGGUGUAGCGGUGAAAUGCAUAGAUACCAUCAAGAACACCGAUUGCGAAGGCAGCUCACUGGGCAACAACUGACGCUGAGGUACGAAAGCGUGGGGAGCAAACAGGAUUAGAUA